Molecule: ribosomal RNA, 1530 nt
Filed under: Salmonella enterica
Lineage: Bacteria; Pseudomonadati; Pseudomonadota; Gammaproteobacteria; Enterobacterales; Enterobacteriaceae
Description: bacterial SSU rRNA
Rfam family: Bacterial small subunit ribosomal RNA
Source: RNAcentral
AGAGUUUGAUCAUGGCUCAGAUUGAACGCUGGCGGCAGGCCUAACACAUGCAAGUCGAACGGUAACAGGAAGCAGCUUGCUGCUUUGCUGACGAGUGGCGGACGGGUGAGUAAUGUCUGGGAAACUGCCUGAUGGAGGGGGAUAACUACUGGAAACGGUGGCUAAUACCGCAUAACGUCGCAAGACCAAAGAGGGGGACCUUCGGGCCUCUUGCCAUCAGAUGUGCCCAGAUGGGAUUAGCUUGUUGGUGAGGUAACGGCUCACCAAGGCGACGAUCCCUAGCUGGUCUGAGAGGAUGACCAGCCACACUGGAACUGAGACACGGUCCAGACUCCUACGGGAGGCAGCAGUGGGGAAUAUUGCACAAUGGGCGCAAGCCUGAUGCAGCCAUGCCGCGUGUAUGAAGAAGGCCUUCGGGUUGUAAAGUACUUUCAGCGGGGAGGAAGGUGUUGCGGUUAAUAACCGCAGCAAUUGACGUUACCCGCAGAAGAAGCACCGGCUAACUCCGUGCCAGCAGCCGCGGUAAUACGGAGGGUGCAAGCGUUAAUCGGAAUUACUGGGCGUAAAGCGCACGCAGGCGGUCUGUCAAGUCGGAUGUGAAAUCCCCGGGCUCAACCUGGGAACUGCAUUCGAAACUGGCAGGCUUGAGUCUUGUAGAGGGGGGUAGAAUUCCAGGUGUAGCGGUGAAAUGCGUAGAGAUCUGGAGGAAUACCGGUGGCGAAGGCGGCCCCCUGGACAAAGACUGACGCUCAGGUGCGAAAGCGUGGGGAGCAAACAGGAUUAGAUACCCUGGUAGUCCACGCCGUAAACGAUGUCUACUUGGAGGUUGUGCCCUUGAGGCGUGGCUUCCGGAGCUAACGCGUUAAGUAGACCGCCUGGGGAGUACGGCCGCAAGGUUAAAACUCAAAUGAAUUGACGGGGGCCCGCACAAGCGGUGGAGCAUGUGGUUUAAUUCGAUGCAACGCGAAGAACCUUACCUGGUCUUGACAUCCACGGAAGUUUUCAGAGAUGAGAAUGUGCCUUCGGGAACCGUGAGACAGGUGCUGCAUGGCUGUCGUCAGCUCGUGUUGUGAAAUGUUGGGUUAAGUCCCGCAACGAGCGCAACCCUUAUCCUUUGUUGCCAGCGAUUAGGUCGGGAACUCAAAGGAGACUGCCAGUGAUAAACUGGAGGAAGGUGGGGAUGACGUCAAGUCAUCAUGGCCCUUACGACCAGGGCUACACACGUGCUACAAUGGCGCAUACAAAGAGAAGCGACCUCGCGAGAGCAAGCGGACCUCAUAAAGUGCGUCGUAGUCCGGAUUGGAGUCUGCAACUCGACUCCAUGAAGUCGGAAUCGCUAGUAAUCGUGGAUCAGAAUGCCACGGUGAAUACGUUCCCGGGCCUUGUACACACCGCCCGUCACACCAUGGGAGUGGGUUGCAAAAGAAGUAGGUAGCUUAACCUUCGGGAGGGCGCUUACCACUUUGUGAUUCAUGACUGGGGUGAAGUCGUAACAAGGUAACCGUAGGGGAACCUGCGGUUGGAUCACCU